This 491-nucleotide ribosomal RNA is filed under the name uncultured bacterium. RNAcentral's name for it is "partial 16S ribosomal RNA". It matches the Rfam family "Bacterial small subunit ribosomal RNA", at positions 29 to 506 of the family's 1533-position model. The record is from RNAcentral.
AGUGAACGCUGGCGGUAGGCCUAACACAUGCAAGUCGAACGGCAGCACAGUAAGAGCUUGCUCUUACGGGUGGCGAGUGGCGGACGGGUGAGGAAUACAUCGGAAUCUACUUUUUCGUGGGGGAUAACGUAGGGAAACUUACGCUAAUACCGCAUACGACCUACGGGUGAAAGCAGGGGAUCUUCGGACCUUGCGCGAUUGAAUGAGCCGAUGUCGGAUUAGCUAGUUGGCGGGGUAAAGGCCCACCAAGGCGAAGAUCCGUAGCGGGUCUGAGAGGAUGAGCCGCCACACUGGAACUGAGACACGGGCCAGACCCCUACGGGAGGCAGGAGUGGGGAAUAUUGGAGAAUGGGGGCAAGCUUGACCCAGCCAUACCGCGUGGGUGAAGAAGGCCUUCGGGUUGUAAAGCCCUUUUGUUGGGAAAGAAAAUCAGCAGGUUAAUACCCCGCUGUUCGGACGGUACCCAAAGAAUAAGCACCGGCUAACUGCGU